This 453-nucleotide ribosomal RNA is filed under the name uncultured Bacteroides sp. RNAcentral describes it as "partial 16S ribosomal RNA". It matches the Rfam family "Bacterial small subunit ribosomal RNA", at positions 341 to 792 of the family's 1533-position model. The record is from RNAcentral. Lineage: Bacteria; Pseudomonadati; Bacteroidota; Bacteroidia; Bacteroidales; Bacteroidaceae.
ACGGGAGGCAGCAGUGAGGAAUAUUGGUCAAUGGGCGGAAGCCUGAACCAGCCAAGUCGCGUGAAGGAUGAAGGUAUUAUGUAUUGUAAACUUCUUUAGUCGCAGGGAAAUAAGGCGGACGAGUCCGCUGAUGCUAGUAUGCGAAGAAUAAGGAUCGGCUAACUCCGUGCCAGCAGCCGCGGUAAUACGGAGGAUCCGAGCGUUAUCCGGAUUUAUUGGGUUUAAAGGGUGCGCAGGCGGUCUUUUAAGUCAGUGGUCAAAUGGUGGGGCUCAACCCCAUCCCGCCAUUGAUACUGGAGGACUUGAUUGCGGUCGAGGUUGGCGGAAUUCGUCGUGUAGCGGUGAAAUGCAUAGAUAUGACGAAGAACACCGAUUGCGUAGGCAGCUGACCAGGCCGUAAAUGACGCUCAUGCACGAAAGUGCGGGGAUCGAACAGGAUUAGAUACCCUGGUA